Molecule: transfer RNA, 71 nt
Filed under: bacterium
Lineage: Bacteria
Also listed under: 1 other name
Description: tRNA-His
Rfam family: tRNA
About the family: Transfer RNA (tRNA) molecules are approximately 80 nucleotides in length. Their secondary structure includes four short double-helical elements and three loops (D, anti-codon, and T loops). Further hydrogen bonds mediate the characteristic L-shaped molecular structure. tRNAs have two regions of fundamental functional importance: the anti-codon, which is responsible for specific mRNA codon recognition, and the 3' end, to which the tRNAs corresponding amino acid is attached (by aminoacyl-tRNA synthetases). tRNAs cope with the degeneracy of the genetic code in two manners: having more than one tRNA (with a specific anti-codon) for a particular amino acid; and 'wobble' base-pairing, i.e. permitting non-standard base-pairing at the 3rd anti-codon position.
Source: RNAcentral
GCGAUCGUAGCUUAAUGGUAAAGCAUCGGGUUGUGGUCCCGACGACGUGGGUUCGAUUCCCAUCGAUCGCC